CCGUGGUAGUCACGCUGUAAACGAUGUCGAUUUGGAGUUUGUUGCCUAGAGUGAUGGGCUCCGAAGCUAACGCGAUAAAUCGACCGCUGGGGAGUACGGCCGCAAGGUUAAAACUCAAAUGAAUUGACGGGGGCCCGCACAAGCGGUGGAGCAUGUGGUUUAAUUCGAUGCAACGCGAAGAACCUUACCUGGUCUUGACAUCCAUAGAAUUCUGCAGAGAUGUGGGAGUGCCUUCGGGAACUAUGAGACAGGUGCUGCAUGGCUGUCGUCAGCUCGUGUUGUGAAAUGUUGGGUUAAGUCCCGCAACGAGCGCAACCCUUAUUCUUUGUUGCCAGCGAUUUGGUCGGGAACUCAAAGGAGACUGCCGUUGAUAAAGCGGAGGAAGGUGGGGACGACGUCAAGUCAUCAUGGCCCUUACGACCAGGGCUACACACGUGCUACAAUGGCGUAUACAAAGGGAAGCGAAGGUGCGAGCUGGAGCGGAUCUCAUAAAGUACGUCUAAGUUCGGAUUGGAGUCUGCAACUCGACUCCAUGAAGUCGGAAUCGCUAGUAAUCGUAGAUCAGAAUGCUACGGUGAAUACGUUCCCGGGCCUUGUACACACCGCCCGUCACACCAUGGGAGUGGGUUGCACCAGAAGUAGAUAGCUUAACCGCGAGGGGGGCGUUUACCACGGUGUGAUCCAUGACUGGGGUGAAGUCGUAACAAGGUAACCA
This 715-nucleotide ribosomal RNA is filed under the name uncultured Providencia sp. Its description in RNAcentral is "bacterial SSU rRNA". It matches the Rfam family "Bacterial small subunit ribosomal RNA", at positions 785 to 1502 of the family's 1533-position model. Lineage: Bacteria; Pseudomonadati; Pseudomonadota; Gammaproteobacteria; Enterobacterales; Morganellaceae. The record is from RNAcentral.